UGGGGAAUAUUGGGCAAUGGAGGAAACUCUGACCCAGCAAUGCCGCGUGAAGGAAGAAGGUCUUCGGAUUGUAAACUUUUGUCGUGAGGGAAGAAGAAUGACGGUACCUCAUGAGAAAGCCCCGGCAAACUACGUGCCAGCAGCCGCGGUAAUACGUAGGGGGCAAGCGUUGUCCGGAAUUACUGGGCGUAAAGCGAGUGUAGGUGGCUUUGUAAGUUAUAUGUGAAAGCCCACAGCUUAACUGUGGAACUGCAUAUAAGACUGCAGAGCUGGAGUGCAGGAGAGGCAAAUGGAAUUCCUAGUGUAGCGGUGGAAUGCGUAGAUAUUAGGAGGAACACCAGUGGCGAAGGCGAUUUGCUGGACUGUAACUGACGCUGAGGCUCGAAAGCGUGGGGAUCAAACA
RNAcentral lists this ribosomal RNA (403 nucleotides) under uncultured Bacillota bacterium. Its description in RNAcentral is "uncultured Firmicutes bacterium partial 16S ribosomal RNA". It matches the Rfam family "Bacterial small subunit ribosomal RNA", at positions 355 to 774 of the family's 1533-position model. The record is from RNAcentral. Lineage: Bacteria; Bacillati; Bacillota.